GAUAAUCACCUCCACAUAUCAGACGCGCAAAACACUGAAAUCCUGCCGAAAACACUCAUAAACACAACUAUGUCACACACACGUGUCUUUUACGUCAAUUAAAGCACAAAAUUAAAGAAAACGAAGCUGUUUAGCACUGCUGUUGAGAACACAAGCAGCAGAGCAGAGCGGCGCUUCCGGUGGCGUCACACGCAUGCGCGCCUCACGCGGUCUGGAGCGGAGCUGCAGUGCACUUGCGCAGACAGUCACAAACACGAGAACAAAAACACACCAUAAACAUACAAACGGCGAGGAAUAUUGUAAUUAACAAAUUGCAAACAAUUGUAGCAUUUACAAUAUGAUAAUAUAGUUUGAGAAUCUAAUUUAAUCUUUCAAACAAAACCUAGCCUCAUAUGUGUCAAUGGGUUUUAAUCGUCCUCAAAACAUUUUUACGACACUGUUUUAAAAGGGUUUUAAAUUGGUGUUGGACACAAACGAACAAGCCCACUGCUGAAAAAACACAUUUGACUCUUAUAUAACCUCACCGUUGCUGAGCUCUCCACUUCCGGUUGUGGCCAUGGCGAUCGGUCGUGCUAAGAAGCUAAAUGUGCUAAUGGACUGCCUGAUCUGAAAUUAAACGUGUUCUUUUGCAGAAAACACAACUAACUGUUAAUGAUGUACGCGAGUCGACGGUGUUUGGACAGAAUAUUCUCAGUUGUUCUUCUGGCUGUGGUUCUCUUAUCUUGGGGUUUUGUCAUCUACAGCGCACGAGCUGCUGCUCAAUGGGAGCUGGAGAAGAGAUUCCAGAUUCAUUCAUGAAAUCCCGAAUGAAAUGACUGCUGCUGUGACAUGUGUCCUGUUCAGUUCCUCUUCCAGAAUUCACAGGACUUUUGUACUUGCAGGAUUUGCAUUCGGAGAAUAAAAGAUCAUCAGGAAAUACAGGAGAAAUGUGAAUGAACAUCCUAAACACACCACAUUAUAAAAUAAAUGUUUAUCAUUUGCAUAAUAAAGAGUUUGAUGUGA
Molecule: long non-coding RNA, 1002 nt
Organism: Triplophysa rosa
Lineage: Eukaryota; Metazoa; Chordata; Actinopteri; Cypriniformes; Nemacheilidae
Exons: 2
Source: RefSeq, a predicted model, not a curated record